Molecule: transfer RNA, 76 nt
Filed under: Gammaproteobacteria bacterium
Lineage: Bacteria; Pseudomonadati; Pseudomonadota; Gammaproteobacteria
Description: tRNA-Lys
Rfam family: tRNA
About the family: Transfer RNA (tRNA) molecules are approximately 80 nucleotides in length. Their secondary structure includes four short double-helical elements and three loops (D, anti-codon, and T loops).
Source: RNAcentral
GGGUCGUUAGCUCAGUUGGUAGAGCAGGAGACUUUUAAUCUCUUGGUCGCAGGUUCGAAUCCUGCACGACCCACCA